Molecule: non-coding RNA, 101 nt
Filed under: Pontibacillus marinus
Lineage: Bacteria; Bacillati; Bacillota; Bacilli; Caryophanales; Bacillaceae
Also listed under: 1 other name
Description: TPP sequence
Rfam family: TPP riboswitch aptamer (THI element)
About the family: Vitamin B(1) in its active form thiamin pyrophosphate (TPP) is an essential coenzyme that is synthesised by coupling of pyrimidine and thiazole moieties in bacteria. The previously detected thiamin-regulatory element, thi box was extended, resulting in a new, highly conserved RNA secondary structure, the THI element, which is widely distributed in eubacteria and also occurs in some archaea. Analysis of operon structures identified a large number of new candidate thiamin-regulated genes, mostly transporters, in various prokaryotic organisms.
Source: RNAcentral
AAAGACCACAAGGGGAGUCGUAUCGGCUGAGAUUGAACAUUCGUUCUAACCCUUUGAACCUGUUAGUUAAUUCUAGCGUAGGGAUGUGGCUUUAUUGAUGG